This 1341-nucleotide long non-coding RNA is filed under the name Mytilus galloprovincialis (Mediterranean mussel). The record is from RNAcentral. Lineage: Eukaryota; Metazoa; Mollusca; Bivalvia; Mytilida; Mytilidae.
CCCGUUGUAACAUUUGAACAGACGGUCGGACAUUUUUGGGCUUAUUAUAUAAAAUGUAGAGCUCGUCGAGAGGAACAUUUUAUACGCUGUAUGUAUGCAGCAAAGUCUUAUAGUUUUCCUAAUAUGUAAGCUUGAAAUUGCAGCGUAAUUUUAUUCUGCACUCUGUGACCUUUGACCUUGGGUGCAUAUUAAAGGUCACAUGAAUUAAAGAUUAUUGGUGAAGGUCCCAAGUCUCUACAACUUCCGGUUCUGGAAAUACAAUUUUUCUAAAAUUGUACACAAUUUUUGCAAGGGUAAUAACUCCUUAUAAGGGUUAAUAACAAAAUGAUUGUAUAUGUUCAUUAACAUUGCCAUCUGUUCCUGUACAUGUUGCCGUUUUCAAAUCAAUUCUAUCUCUAAUACUUUUUGAGAAAAAUGCAAAGGACAGAAAUUGCUUCAAGGGGAUAUAACUCUCAUAGGGGACGAUGCAAUCCUAUUCAACCUCAUAUGGUAAUACAUUAUGAUGAGAUCUACCUAUUGUCCAAAUAAGGUAAUGAUAUCUUGAAAAACAACGAGAGGGGGCCAUGUUGAAAAAAAACUAAUAAAAGGGAGAUAACUUAUAAAGGGGAUGAUGAAAUCCUUAACAGGGUCAUCUGGUUAUACCUCAUGGUGAGGUUUAUCGAUGGUCCAUGUUUGGUCUUGAUAACUUCAAAACAAACAUAGGGAGGCCAUGCCAAAAAAAUGUUGGAAGAAAAAAAAGAAAAAAAGAAAAAACACUAGUAUCUCAAUUGUUUGUAAAACAAUUGAAAGGUCUUUCCUGUAAAAGUGAUGUUUUCGUAAUGUACUUUGUACGACCUUUCGUUUGAUAUACGACAAGCAUACCUUUUGAAACUUUUCGCUUUUUACACUUAAUGACCUCAUCCUCCUACAUUUUUGAGAUCGGAAGUAUGAUAUAUGUAACACAGGGUAGAUGAGCUUUCAUUUGAUAUGCGACAACACCAUGUUCUAAAAAGUUUGAUUUUUGCACUUAAUAACCCAUCCAACCAAUUUUUGGAGGUUGGGAAUUUGAUAUUUCAAAUGUACACAUCAUGACCUUUCAUUUGAUAUACAACAACCCUAUCGUAAAAGAAAAUUUAUGAUUUGCACUCAAUGACCCCAUCCAACCAAUUUUUGGGGGACGUCAAUUUGGAAUUUGAAAUGUACGCUUUAUGUUCUUUCAUUUGAUAUGCGACAACCUUACCAUCUGAGAAAUUUGAAUGUUUGCACUAAAUGACCCCACCCUUCCCCCUGGGAUGAAAAGGGGUUUAAAAUUUUCAUUUUUUAAGUAGAGUUUAUUAAGACCUUCAAUUUGAUAUAUCAGAU